RNAcentral lists this ribosomal RNA (898 nucleotides) under uncultured fungus. RNAcentral's name for it is "eukaryotic LSU rRNA". It matches the Rfam family "Eukaryotic large subunit ribosomal RNA", at positions 1 to 980 of the family's 3401-position model. Lineage: Eukaryota; Fungi. The record is from RNAcentral.
AUUAGGACCUCCAAUCAGUCAAGAAUACCCGCUGAAUUUAAGCAUAUAACUAGGCGGAGGAAAAGAAACUAACCAGGAUUCCCUCAGUAACUGCGAGUGAAGCGGGAAAAGCUCAGACUGAAAGUCUUCGGAAUUGUAGUCUGGAGAAGUAUGGUCAGCCGAUGAUGAUGGGUAAAGUCUUCUGGAAAGGAGCGCCAAGGAGGGUGAUAGCCCCGUUCAUACUUAUCAUCAGAAGCGUACGACCUGCUUUCUACGAGUCGAGUUGUUUGGGACUGCAGCUCUAAGUGGGUGGUAAAUUCCAUCUAAAGCUAAAUAUUGGUGGGAGACCGAUAGCGAACAAGUACCGUGAGGGAAAGAUGCAAAGAACUUUGAAAAGAGAGUUAAAUAGUACCUGAAAUUGCUGAAAUGGAACCGAUGGGAGGCAGUGUCGGUGGCGGAUACUUGUAUUCGUCACAAGUCGGGCUUCUUUUCUGGUGCGGGAAAGGCUGAUGGACCAGUUUGGGCCGUCAUGUCCGUCGUGCCGGGGAAGGACUUCGACGAAAUGCCUCUCAUCACCCCGUCUUGAAACACGGACCAAGGAGUCUAACAUGUGUGCGAGUGCUCGGGGUCAACCCCCCAGCGCGAAAUAAACGUAAAGGUGAAUUUAUUCACUUAGGUAGGAUCCUUAGGUGCACUAUCGACCGACCAUGAUCCUCCGGGAGAAAGGUUUGAGUGUGAGCAUACAUGUUGGGACCCGAAAGAUGGUGAACUAUGCUUGAGUAGGGCGAAGCCAGGGGAAACUCUGGUGGAGGUCCGCAGCGAUUCUAACGUGCAAAUUGAUCGCCGAACUUGGGUAUAGGGGCGAAAGACUAAUCGAACCAUCUAGUAGCUGGUUCCUCCCGAAAUUUCCCUUAGGAUA